AUCAGUCUUCCCACUGUGCCUCCUGCAAGCACAAGCAGGAUGAAAACAGGAUUCAGGAUGAAAAUAGGCCUGAUCUGGCUCAUUGAAUUGUGCUUGUGUGGGCUGGGACAGGAAUUGGAGGCUAGAGGCAGAGGAGUCGACAGAAGCAGCUUGUGGUAGCACUGCCGUUGAUGGAAAUAUCUGUGACUGGAGUCCUGGUUAUCAGCUGCAUGGGACAGUGUGUCAGCAUCAACUCCAUUUCCUGGUGCUCCAUGUGGCCAAAGAACAAACCUGAAGCAACUUCUCAAGGGCACGCAGCAACUGGUGGAAGAGCUCUGCAGUUGGAUGUCAGAUUUGUUUACCUUAGGCAUCUUCCAUCUUCGCCACCACUGCUGAAUCAGUCUUCCUUUAUGAAGCACGAUGUCCCCUUUGCAGUAGGCUGGAAAUGUGAGACGUGCUUAGGAGCAGUGCCUGGCCUGGGAAAAAGAAAUGCACCCCUCCCACCUAAGUACCACUGCAGUCCAGGUUCUCUUUGUUCUAAAUACAUAUUCUUUUACUGUUUACUAUCCCUUUUCCCCUCUGAGUUGGAACAUUUGUUUAAAAAAGUCUUCUGUUGCUGGGAGCUGAACCAGACACCAUGUCUACUGUAUUGGCUCAGAAUGAGAUUUGAGCAGCAUCUUGCUGCAUGCUCCCUAAGGAUGGGUAAAAGCAAAUGCCAUGAGUAUAAAAAGACGAGGCUUCUGUAAGGUGAGUCUUUC
This 737-nucleotide long non-coding RNA is filed under the name Anser brachyrhynchus (Pink-footed goose). RNAcentral's name for it is "lncRNA (ENSABRG00000007853.1)". Lineage: Eukaryota; Metazoa; Chordata; Aves; Anseriformes; Anatidae. The record is from RNAcentral.